RNA transcript from Pongo pygmaeus (Bornean orangutan), 4991 nucleotides. It is a transcript of the gene named frataxin, with no coding region annotated. NCBI's taxonomy places the organism in Eukaryota, Metazoa, Chordata, Mammalia, Primates, Hominidae. The transcript is spliced from 7 exons. The record is from RefSeq and is a predicted model, not a curated record.
AUGUGGACUCUCGGGCGCCGCGCACUAGCCGGCCUCUUGGCGUCCCCCAGCCCAGCCCAGGCCCAGACCCUCACCCGGGUCCCGCGGCCGGCAGAGUUGGCCCCACUCUGCAGCCGCCGGGGCCUGCGCACCGGCAUCGCUGCGACCUGCACGCCCCGCCAUGCAAGUUCGAACCUCCAUGGUCUCAACCAGAUUCGGAAUGUCAAAAAGCAGAGUGUCUAUUUGAUGAAUUUGAGGAAAUCCGGAACUUUGGGCCACCCAGGCUCUCUAGAUGAGACCACCUAUGAAAGACUAGCAGAGGAAACGCUGGACUCUUUAGCAGAGUAUUUUGAAGACCUUGCAGACAAGCCAUACACGUUUGAGGACUAUGAUGUUUCCUUUGGGAGUGGUGUCUUAACUGUUAAACUAGGUGGAGAUCUAGGAACCUACGUGAUCAACAAGCAAACGCCAAACAAGCAAAUCUGGCUAUCUUCUCCAUCCAGUGGACCUAAGCGUUAUGACUGGACUGGGAAAAACUGGGUGUACUCCCACGACGGCGUGUCCCUCCAUGAGCUGCUGGCCGCAGAGCUCACUAAAGCCUUAAAAACCAAACUGGACUUGUCUUCCUUGGCCUAUUCCGGAAAAGAUGCUUGAUGCCCAACCCAGUUUUAAGGACAUUAAAAGCUAUCAGGCCAAGACCCCAGCUUCAUUAUGCAGCUAAGGUUUACAACAUGCUUUAUCCAGCUAUACCUGCCCCAAAUUCUGACAAAUGCUUUUGCCACCUCUAAAGGAAGACCCAUGUUCAUAAUGAUGGAGUUUGUGUGGAUUAACCAUGCAAGGUUGCGAAGGAAAAAUCGCUUUACACUUCCAAGAUGUUAUAUGGAAUUGCUGGAGUAUGAGAAGAGCUUCUUCAUCCCAACAGCUUUCAGAGUGAAGCGGCAGCUCAUGCCUGUAAUCCCAGCACUUUGAGAGGCAGAGGUAGGUGGUUCACUUGAGGUCAGGAGUUUGAGACCAGCCUGGCCAACAUGGUGAAACCUCAUCUCUACUAAAAAUACAAAAAUUAGCUGGGUGUGGUGGUGCACACCUGUAAUCCCAGCUACUCAGGAGGCUGAGGCAGGAGAAUCACUUGAGCCUGUGAGGUGGAGGUUGAAGUGAGCCAAGAUCAUGCCCCUGCACUCCAGCCUGGGUAACAAAGCAAGAUUCUGUCUCAAAAAAAAAAAAAAAAAAAGGUGAACCUCUGGGUUCCCCAGAUCUUUUCAGAGAUAUGUAAUGUUCUCCUUUUUCCAACUACAUAACUCUUUAAGCUGGGUUUUCUUCAUAUACUCCAAUGAAAACAACAUAUUGCAACAGAUGGAAUGAAGAGGCACGUAGAAGAAUCCAGCUGUUUUCUAUUAAGCCAAACAUUACAGUUGUCAGCUGAAGAAUUCUGAGAUUCAUAAAUUUGGAAAGAAAAGCUUCAUUUCUCAUAAAAGAUUGCAGCCUGCAGGGCGGCCAUUCUGACAGGCUAAGAAAUGUAGCCUCUGGCCAGAAGCCAAAAACAGACGCUGAGGGUCAGAAGAAUAAGAUGGGCAUUUAUGCUGAAUAGGAUGGCCAAAUAUACAUAUUCAAUAAACUACAGGAGGAGUCAUGAAUAUUCAUGAAAGGAGAAACAUGCACAUGCUCAACUGAGCUUCAUGCCUCUCCAUGGGACAUGUGUGCAAAAAAUGACAGCAUUAGCAUGAUUAGAGGGUGGAGUUUUCUGUCCUCUGACAUCAAAAGGUGAAACAGAGGACACAGAAACCCUCACUGCACAUCCUCUGUAAACUGGCCAGAACCACUCCAUUGUGGGCAGUCUGUUAUCAGGAAGGAAUGCUGGUUAGUUGUGCAGAAACUGCAGAAACUGCAAAAGGAAGGGGCAGUGUCAGACCAUUGGUUGAUAUCAGCGGUGCAGCUCGUCUUUCCAAAGGGCUGAUUUCUGUUUAACCUGUAGGAAGGAAAUCCUAAUGGCGUUUAGCAAUGGAGAGGAUAUAACAACACAUCAUGGCAAGAACUCAGUUUUCAAGGUUUCUCUGGGGUCCCCUUGGCCAAGAGGUGGCGCAUCCGUUUAGUCAGCUGGGGGACUUAGGAUUUCAUUUUUAUUUCUCAGAGUUUUAUAAAACUCUAAAAUAAUUAUUUGACAGCCAGGUGGGAGGGGGUCCCUGGAGAAACUCCAACCAGCCUGCCUACUAGGGUGGAGCCUCAGGAGUUUGCAGCAGGGAGGAGCCUGGCGCCUCCUCUUCCUAUGUGAACCUGGGAUUCUAGCAGCCUGGUGGGAAGCACUCUAGCAGGAGACUCUGGCCUUGCGGAGGAUCCCUGUUCCCCUCACCCCUUUAUUUCCCCUUUUCACUUAAUAAAACCCUGCUUUACUCACCCUUUAAACCAUCUGCAAGCCUAAAUUUUUGUGGCUGUGGGAUAGACAAGAACCUUAUCUUUAGCUGAACUAAGGAAAAGUCCUGCAAUGAUCCUAUUCUUCACACCAAAUAUGUUUUGUUUCAAAACUAUAGUUAUUUAUCAUAAAUAUGUCGUUCAUAUUGUUAAAUCAAAUUUUGCCUAAAGCUGCCUCCUUACAUAGUUUAAGCUUGACCUAAAGGUUUCUCUGUACUUAGUGAAUUGUAGCCUACCCAGAUGUGUAAACAAGACUGUGGCCUACUCUUGUGACAAUCAUUGGAUUUUGGCCAAUCAAAGGAGGUCAACUCUUGACACUGCUUUCAAAUAAGGCAAAUAUUGAGCUGUAACCAAUCUGGCUGUUGCUAUACCUCACUUCUGUUUUCUGUACGCCACUUUUCUUUCUGUGUCCAUAAAUCUUCUUCCACCACGUGGCUGUGCUGGAGUCUCUGAGCCUACUCUGGCUGAGGAGGCUGCCCAAUUCUCAAACUGUUCAAUUAAACUCGGUUAAAUUUAAUUUGUCUAAGGUUUUCUUUUAACCGUAUAAACAGAUGUGUUUAUGAUUGUUAUGUCUUUUUUCUUUUCUUUUUUUUUUUUUUUUUUUUUUUUUGAGACAAGGUCCCACUCUGUCCCCCAGGCUGGAAUACAGUAGCAUGAUCACGGCUCACUGUAGUCUCGCACUCCCAGGCUCAAGCGAUCCUCCAUCUCAGCCUCCUGAAUAGUUGGGAGUACAAGUGCAUGCAACCAUGCCUGGCUAAUUUUUUUUUGUAUUUUUUGUAGAGAGAGAGUUUUGCCACAUUGCCCAGGUUGAUCUCGAACUCCUGAGCUCAAGUGACCCUCUUGCCUCAGCCUUCCAAAGUGCCGGGACCACAGGCAUGAGUCACCACACCAAGCUAUUAUUUCUAAAUUAAUGAACAGAUGAACAUUUUCAAAAUUUCUCAGUUUUAAUUUUAAAUAUGAUUAAAAGGAUAGAUAUAACACACAAACAAAAGCUCUUUGGAGUCCUCUAUAACUCACGAAUAUUAAGGGUCCUGAGAUUUUUCUUUAAAGAGAACCACUGCACUCUCCUAGCCUACUAGCUCUCCGCAAUCCAUCCUGGUUCUCCUCUUGGCAGGGGAGACCUGUUCUAGACCCUCAAGGACCCCUCAUGGCAUCCCGUAGCUAUUAUCUAAGGAAUCUUUCUCCAUUUGGACUUCCCAUUUUUUUCUUCCCCCUUUAAGAUCCCCUUAUUCUUUUCAUCUAAUUUUGUGUGCCACCUGCAGAGUCCUUCUUCUUCUUCUUCUCCUUCUUCUUCUCAGAGUCUUGCUCUGUCGCCCAGGCUGGAUUGCAGUGGCACAAUCUCGGCUCACUGCAGCCUCUGCCUUCCAGGUUCCGGUGAUUCUCCUGCCUCAGCCUCCUGGGUAGCUGGGACUACAGGCACCCACCACCAUGACUGGCUAAUUUUUUGUAUUUUUAGUAGAGACAGGGUUUCACAGUGUUAGCCAGGAUGGUCUCUAUCUCCUGACCUCGUGAUCUGCCCACCUCGGCCUUCCAAAGUGCUGGGAUUACAGGCAUAAGCCACCACACCUGGCGACUAAUUUUUGUAUUUUUAGUAGAGACAGGGUUUCGCCAUGUUGGCUAGGCUGGUCUUGAACUCCUUACCUCAGGUGAUCCGCCCGCCUUGGCCUCCCAAAGUGUUGGGAUUACAGGCAUGAGCCAACGCGCCUGGCCUGAGUCCUGCUUCUUCCAGAUCUGGUGCCCAGUCCUGACACCAGAAAAGGUGUCUUGUUCCAGACCCCAGGAGUGUUCUUGGAUCUUGCCUGGGAAAGAAUUCAGGGCAAGUUGAAGAGUAUAAUGAAGUUAAGAUAGUUAAUUAGAGGCUACUCAAUUACAGAGUAGGGCGUCCUCAGAAAACAAGAGGAGGAAAGCACUACCUUAAUGUAGUGCUUGCUUAUGUAGGUUGUAUAAGAAUUGUGUACUUUAUUACAAAGGUUUGUGAUCAGCUUGUGACAGGCUAUUGGUGCUGUUAUUUUCCUGAUACUAUUGAUUUCAGCAAGAAUUUAUGAGUACACUAUUAUAUUUAAAGCAAAACCUAUUCUUUAAGAAUGCUUUUUGUUCUUAAAAUACUGGGACAUUUCCAUAAGUUCUGAGUCUUUAGUUAGCAACAUUAACUCAUUCCCUCAAUCAUAAACAUCUCAUGACCAAGAGUGCCCAGUUCCUGGGAAAUGUAACCCAGCAGGUUUGGCUUUAUUCGGCCUUUAUUCAAAAUGGAGUCACUCUGGUUAGGACACCUCUGACAGUCCCUGGAAACCCAAAGGAACCCUUCUGUGUGGCACGGGGAAUGGAAGAAAGAAAGAGAUGAGGCAGGAAAAUAGGGUCUGGAGGCAGAAAACAUAAGCCGAUUCACACUUCAGCUAUGACAGGAAAUAUCCUCUCCAUAGGGCGUACGCCUGUAACUUUACUUCAUCCUCUUCAUUUACAUAGGACGUAUCCUAAGUAACCAAUGGAAUUGUCUAGAGGGUAUUUAAACUCCCAAAAAUUCUGUAACGGGGCCUUUGAGCCCCUAUGCUCGGGCCCGCUCCCACACUGUGGAGUGUACUUUCAUUUUCAAUAAAUCCCUUCAUUCCUUC